This is a long non-coding RNA of Eriocheir sinensis (Chinese mitten crab), 380 nucleotides long. RefSeq lists it as uncharacterized. Lineage: Eukaryota; Metazoa; Arthropoda; Malacostraca; Decapoda; Varunidae. The transcript has 3 exons. The record is from RefSeq and is a predicted model, not a curated record.
CAUGAAUCAGCCUCAUCGGUGAUGGCGGUCACCAAUUCGGCGGCUGCCCAUGAAUCAUCAGCCUCCACGGACCAGUCAUCACGGGUCAUUGCUUCAAAGGCUGCCCAUGAAUCAUCAGCCUCGACCAUAGCAGCGGAGGUCACCAAGUCUGGGGCUGCCCAUGAAUCAUCAGCCUCCACGGACCAGUCAUCACGGGUCAUUGCUUCAAAGGCUGCCCAUGAAUCAACAGCCUCGACCAUAGCAACAGAGGUCACCAAGUCUGGGGCUGCCCAUGAAUCAUCAGCCUCCACGGACCAGUCAUCACGGGUCAUUGCUUCAAAGGCUGCCCAUGAAUCAACAGCCUCGACCAUAGCAACAGAGGUCACCAAGUCUGGGGCUGC